UGGGGAAUAUUGCACAAUGGAGGGAACUCUGAUGCAGCGACGCCGCGUGAGUGAUGAAGGAAUUCGUUUCGUAAAACUCUGUUCUAUGGGAAGAAAAGGACUGUACCAUAGGAGAAAGCUCCGGCUAAAUACGUGCCAGCAGCCGCGGUAAUACGUAUGGAGCGAGCGUUGUCCGGAAUUAUUGGGCGUAAAGGGUGCGCAGGCGGCUUUACAAGUUGGAUGUGAAAUAUUGUGGCUCAACCACAAACGUGCAUCCAAAACUGCAAAGCUUGAGUUAAGGAGAGGUAAGUGGAAUUCCUGGUGUAGCGGUGGAAUGCGUAGAUAUCAGGAGGAAUACCGGUGGCGAAGGCGGGUCUCUGGGCUGUUACUGACGCUGAGGAGCGAAAGCGUGGGGAGCGAACAGG
Molecule: ribosomal RNA, 404 nt
Filed under: Fusobacteriota bacterium
Lineage: Bacteria; Fusobacteriati; Fusobacteriota
Description: Fusobacteria bacterium partial 16S ribosomal RNA
Rfam family: Bacterial small subunit ribosomal RNA
Source: RNAcentral